Labrus mixtus (cuckoo wrasse) is the source of this 355-nucleotide long non-coding RNA. RefSeq lists it as uncharacterized. The record is from RefSeq and is a predicted model, not a curated record. The transcript is spliced from 3 exons. Lineage: Eukaryota; Metazoa; Chordata; Actinopteri; Labriformes; Labridae.
GCAAUGGCCGGUUUUCAACUUCACCAAUCUGACAACGGAGAGGAGGAACAAACACAACAACCUUUGCCACGAAGGCAUGAGCACGACGUUUCAGUGUUGUAGGAGAAUGAAUCAGCUGCCUGUUCCUUGUACCAAAAACAUCCAGGACUGUUUAGACCCAUAUACACUUCAAAACAUCCACAACAUCUUCAGAGAACAUCACGGAGAACUGCAGAAGAGCUGUGCAGACACUUGGCAGCUCAUCGCAGCUUUGUGAGCCGGUGCUGGGGAUACUCUGGGACACAACUGCAGAGUGGGUAUCCUGUCGUGUGUCGUCCUGAGGAUUCGCCUCUAGUUUCCUGACCCGACUGGACAG